Molecule: ribosomal RNA, 561 nt
Filed under: Triticum aestivum (bread wheat)
Lineage: Eukaryota; Viridiplantae; Streptophyta; Magnoliopsida; Poales; Poaceae
Description: partial small subunit ribosomal RNA
Source: RNAcentral
AUGCGCUCGCAUGGUGACAAGCGGAGAGCCCCAGUCGACCCAAGAGAGCCUGGGUUCGAUGCGAGAUCACUCCUCGUACAUGGUUUGGUUGACAGAGGCAGGGCUAACAGAGAAGAACUGGACAGAGAUCGUCCGACUGGAAGCAGGGCGUUUGUUUCCGGGCCCGAGUGUUUCAGCAGAACCAUCCGAGUAGCUAAGAUCCCACCCAACUUCAGAUUGAUUACGGGCGUGAGCAAGUUCACUGGUGAGUCAAAGCCAGACACGUGGCUGGAAGAUUACCGAGUGGCAGUGCAGAUUGGUGGAGGCAACAAUGAUGUAGCCAUGAAGCACCUCCCUUUGAUGCUUGAGGGUUCGGCCAGAGUUUGGUUGAAUCAGUUGGCCCUUGGAAGUAUUUUCCGUUGGGAAGAUUUAGCCCGAGUGUUUAUCAAGACAUUCAAGGGCACCUGCAAGCGACCUGCUGGGCUGACUGAAUUGCAGCAUUGCGUUCAGAAGCCGUAUGAAACUUUGAGAGAUUUCAUCCAGAGAUGGACUACUCUUCACCAUGUGGUGGAAAGUGUGUAA